GUAGUUUUGGCCGAGUGGUUAAGGCGAUGGACUUGAAAUCCAUUGGGGUCUCCCCGCGCAGGUUCAAAUCUACG
Molecule: transfer RNA, 74 nt
Filed under: Danio rerio (zebrafish)
Lineage: Eukaryota; Metazoa; Chordata; Actinopteri; Cypriniformes; Danionidae
Rfam family: tRNA
About the family: Transfer RNA (tRNA) molecules are approximately 80 nucleotides in length. Their secondary structure includes four short double-helical elements and three loops (D, anti-codon, and T loops).
Source: Rfam by way of RNAcentral